RNAcentral lists this long non-coding RNA (1860 nucleotides) under Homo sapiens (human). Its description in RNAcentral is "novel transcript". The record is from RNAcentral. Lineage: Eukaryota; Metazoa; Chordata; Mammalia; Primates; Hominidae.
AACCAACUGAAGACAUGUAGAUAAAAGAAACAUAAGACAAAAAAUAAACAGAGCCUCAAUUACCUUGAGAAAAUAUGAAAUAGUAUAAUAUCUAUAUAAUUAGAGACCCAGAAAAAGGAGGGAAGAAAAAUUAUUUAAGAAAUAAUUGCCAUUUUUUUUUCCCAAGGAUCUCAACAGGACAAACACAAAGAAAAUAUCAAGGUGCAUCAUAGACAAAUUAUUGAAAAUCAGCAAUAAGGAGAAAACCUUAAAAACAGCAAGAUAAAAAGAUGCAUUAUGUGUAAAAUUAAAAAAGAAAACAAUGAUUGCUGAAUUCUUAUCAUACCAAUGCACAAAAGACAACAGAACAAUAUCUUUAAUGUGUGAAAAGUAAAAAAAAAAAUGUCAAACUAAGUUUUACAUUCAGGAAAAAUAUUCUUUGAAAAUAGAAGACAAUGAGAUUUCUGAUUUGUGGUUAUCACUCCCAUUCUCAUAAUAAGAAAAAAUCUGAAAAAACUGGAAAUCCACAACUCUUCUUAAAAUUGAGGUAACAGGGCAAGCCACUACCUUGAAUAUUAGAGACAGGAAGAUACAAAGAAUUCAGCUUAAAGAAAGAAGGAAGCCUUGGAGGAGAAGCCUGGUGCUGGAGCCUGUACCACUUUCCACAACAUCAACUGUGCUACUGUAUAAUAACAGGGCAUUAUAGCCAAAGAACUGUAAGCCUCAGACCCUAUUUAAGGAAGAGUCUCCAGGGAAAUCUAAAAAUAACAGGGAAGACUAAAACAAGGACACCCAGAGAAAAUGCUAGCCUUUGAUAUGUACAGCUAUAGCAACUGGCAAACACAAUGUAACUCCUAGCCAGAUCAACAUUGAACCUCACACAAAAGGUCUAUUUACUUCAUUUCCUUCUAAUUGAUACAUCCUCUCAGGCUGUCAGCAAAAAACUAGAAGACGUGAAAAUGCAAAAACUCUGUCUGAAGAGAGAAAGCAUGCCUUAGACUCAGACUGGCAGAAAUUUUGAGUGAUCAAACCAGAUAUUUAAAAUAACUAUGAUUAAAAUGCUAGCAGAAUGGAAAAAGUAAACAACAUGCACAAAUGGAAGGCAAAACAAAGACAUUUUCAAAUAAGCAAAAGGUGAUAGAAUGUGUCAUCCACAGACCUGCACUAUAAAAAAUGGUAGAGGAAGUUCUUCAGUAUGAAAGUGAAUGAUACCAGAUGGAAACUGAGAUCUACAAAAUGAAACAUCACUGGAAAUAGUAAAUACAUGGAGUUUCACCUGCCACCUGGAUCAUUUCCUAUUUUUCUGCAGCCACUUCAGGGCGGGGACCCAGUAUCACGAAGCUGCAAGCUUUGCUGCCAGUUUUCCAUCCAUCCCCCGGGGCUGAGAUGAGGUGAGAGGCCGCAAAUCCUAUCUAUGAAGAUAGGCACUUCCAUUCAUUCUGAAGUCCUCACAUAGUAGUUAUUCAGUGAAUGUACCCUGGGAUCCACUUUUCACCUUUCCCCUUACCUGCUUUGUGCUUCAAGAAACUGACUUCAACAGACAGCAUCAUCUGGGCUUCUUUACCCUGUAGUGUUCAGCUGAGUUCAGCCAAUGGAAGACACUAGUAGAAGACUGGAAGGAUAGAGGAGAGAAAGAUUGGAAUAUUUAUUCCCAUCUCAUACUACAGUUUUUGUAGUGAUGGUUCUUCCUAUUGGACAGCUUCCACCUAUAACUACAGUUCUCUCCUGGUUCCAGAAACUGCUUUCUCCACUUCUGACCUAGGAGUAGCCACAGCUCCCAGCUGUUGUUAGACCCCAGGUGUAUUUUGUCAUCUCUUGUUACUUCCCUUAACCCUGCCACAGCUCUGAAAAUAGUCCAGUAAUUAAAUACUUUUUGAGCUA